CCUACGGGUGGCAGCAGUGAGGAAUAUUGGUCAAUGGCCGAGAGGCUGAACCAGCCAAGUCGCGUGAGGGAAGACGGCCCUACGGGUUGUAAACCUCUUUUGUCGGGGAGCAAAGAGAGUCACGUGUGACUCAUUGAGAGUACCCGAAGAAAAAGCAUCGGCUAACUCCGUGCCAGCAGCCGCGGUAAUACGGAGGAUGCGAGCGUUAUCCGGAUUUAUUGGGUUUAAAGGGUGCGCAGGCGGAGGUGCAAGUCAGCGGUCAAAUUGCGGGGCUCAACCCCGUACUGCCGUUGAAACUGCAUCCCUUGAGUGCGCGAGAAGUAUGCGGAAUGCGCGGUGUAGCGGUGAAAUGCUUAGAUAUCGCGCAGAACCCCGAUUGCGAAGGCAGCGUACCGGCUCCACACUGACGCUGAGGCACGAAAGCGUGGGUAUCGAACAGGAUUAGAUACCCGUGUAGUC
RNAcentral lists this ribosomal RNA (459 nucleotides) under uncultured bacterium. RNAcentral describes it as "partial 16S ribosomal RNA". It matches the Rfam family "Bacterial small subunit ribosomal RNA", at positions 338 to 795 of the family's 1533-position model. The record is from RNAcentral.